This 460-nucleotide ribosomal RNA is filed under the name uncultured bacterium. RNAcentral describes it as "partial 16S ribosomal RNA". It matches the Rfam family "Bacterial small subunit ribosomal RNA", at positions 338 to 795 of the family's 1533-position model. The record is from RNAcentral.
CCUACGGGAGGCAGCAGUGAGGAAUAUUGGUCAAUGGACGCAAGUCUGAACCAGCCACGCCGCGUGAAGGAUGACGGCCUUAUGAGUUGUAAACUGCUUUUGUACGAGGGUAAUAUCAGAUACGUGUAUCUGUUUGAAUGUACCGUACGAAUAAGGAUCGGCUAACUCCGUGCCAGCAGCCGCGGUAAUACGGAGGAUCCAAGCGUUAUCCGGAUUUAUUGGGUUUAAAGGGUGCGUAGGCGGGUUUAUAAGUUAGAUGUGAAAGUUCGGGGCUCAACUCCGGACGUGCCUCUAAUACUGUAAGACUAGAGAAUAGGUGAGGUAGGCGGAAUGUAUGGUGUAGCGGUGAAAUGCGUAGAGAUCAUGCAGAACACCGAUUGCGAAGGCAGCUAACCGGACUAUAACUGACGUUGAGGCACGAAAGCGUGGGGAGCAAACAGGAUUAGAUACCCCAGUAGUC